CAUCAACUUCCGUGAGAAGAAGCCAAAGCCAUCCAAGAAGAAAGCAGAAGGUGGCAGCACGGAGGAGGGGGCCGGGGCCCGGGGCCGCGUGGCGCGUUUCCGCUACUUCGAAGAUAUUUAUGGCUACUCAGGGGUGUUCAUCUGCGGCCCCUCCCCUCACUGGCUCCUGGUGACUGGCCGAGGGGCUCUGCGGCUACACCCCAUGGCCAUCGACGGCCCCGUCGACUCUUUCGCUCCAUUCCACAAUGUCAACUGUCCUCGCGGCUUCCUGUACUUCAACAGACAGGUGGGGCCCGGCCGGUUCCCAGCAGCACUGGCUGAUGCUGCCCCAGCUGAGGGGGAGGGGACAGAAGGGGCCAUUGGCUCCACCCUGAGGACCAGGAAGGAGUGUCCAGAGGGCGAUGGGGUUGAGGCCGAGGAGGUGGAACCUGUGACUUGGUGCUCCAAAAGUCUGGAAAGGGGUGGUUGGGAGUUGGGGCUACAGCCCCCGGGGGCCCCCCACUGCUCCGCUGGCUUGCUGGGCAAGCCCUCGCAGGGCCUGGCCUCCACACUUCUCAGGAGAGCUGACUUGAGUGCUAGCUCUGCCCCUUGGCUGCUCUGUGACUUU
RNAcentral lists this small RNA (607 nucleotides) under Pongo abelii (Sumatran orangutan). RNAcentral describes it as "retained intron". The record is from RNAcentral. Lineage: Eukaryota; Metazoa; Chordata; Mammalia; Primates; Hominidae.